Molecule: long non-coding RNA, 2378 nt
Filed under: Lytechinus variegatus (green sea urchin)
Lineage: Eukaryota; Metazoa; Echinodermata; Echinoidea; Temnopleuroida; Toxopneustidae
Description: uncharacterized LOC121417117
Source: RNAcentral
AAACUUAUCUGUAUAACGCCUUCCUUCCUUUGCUUUAAAGUUUUUUUGUAUUUGAUAAAUGUCCUGGCAUCAGAUUUUAGUCUGCUGUAGAUCAUUGUUAUAUUUUUGUUCAGCUCCUCGAAUGGUCACCGAGAAACCAUUAAACCGUAUCCGGUUGCGGACGGCCUGUAAUUUAUUCACUUUAAUACCACUGGAGACUCAAAUAAGCCCGAGUCUCGUAUGUAACACGAGACUGGCAUCCCCUCAUGGCGCAAUUCAUUGGCAUGGUUGCGUUUUUUUCCCCCGAAUAUCCAAAUUUAAUCAGGGAUAGUGCCCAAUUAAUCGAACAACAAUCAGCUGUUGAUCAACAAAGUAUCCGAUGGCUGUAAAUGUGAAUCGAUGGCUGUCAACAUGAACACAAUUGCCUGUGUGUUUACAUCAUCAGCCCAAAGGCCCAGAAAUUAAUCUUAAUGUUGUUCGUAUUCUAGGCCUUUCUUGAUUGAUAUUCCAUCGAUCGUCAGUGACCACCUCAAGGAUCUGCCUUGUUUGUUUUCGACUCUGGACAAACUGGGAUACACUCCAUGGUGAACCAGGGUUCGCCUUCCAUUGAUCUGAGCAUUGUACUGAUUUUUUUUUACAUGGAAGGGAUAACAUCUGUGUUUAAGGUCUUACCAACGUGGGCUGUGGUAUCGUAUUGACAGGCAUACUUUAUCUGUAUGAAGCAGUCCUUCCUCUGUUUUUAAGUUGUUUCUCUUUGUUUUUGGUAAUUGACCAGGCAUCAGAGUUUUUUUCUGUCUGCCAUAGUUCUUGUGGUACUCUUUGACCAAUAGUUCAGUGUCUUUGGCAUUUGCACUUGGCCACUUGCUCUGGUACUCUAUCAAAGUCAACAAUUUCUGUUUCUGUUAUUGACAGGCAUAAAUUCUGUUUACUGUCUACCUUCCUUCGCUUCAAAAUUUUUUUUCAGUUCCUCUUGAAUGAUAACAUGCAUGUAUAUUUGAUGGAUUGCUUACAUUUCUAUCUCCAUUGUCGAGUAAUACUUCUUUGUCUGCAAGAAGGUUUCUUAGGAGUUUGAUGUUGUGUACUUUAUCAAAUAGGAAGGGGAUCUCCUGGGAUGUUGUGUGGAUGCGGGAAUGUACCUCUGAGCGCAUGUGGGUGAAGAGAGCAUCCAAGAUACACAGCCAAAUUAGUGGCCGCUCCAUCACAUACUAAUGCUACCACAUCUAUGUCAUGCUGUAUUAGUCACUCCAGGCAUUCCGUGACAAGCCUUUCUUGGGCUAUCAAUCUGUCUCUAAACAAAGUAACCAAUGGCAAACCGUACGUGUGUGUCGAUAGCUGUCAACAUGGAGACAUUUACCCCUGAAAAGCCCAGAAACUCAACUUUAUGCUGAUCAUACUCUAUGCCUUUCUUGAUUGACACUCCAUGGAUUGUCAAUAGCCACCUUAGGGAUCUGCCUUGUUGGUCUUGGAAUAGGGUAAACCACCAAUACACUCCAUUAUUAAUUCGGAUUUGCCUUCCCCUAAUUCGAGUUAUGUACUGUUUAUUUUUUUCUAGGGAAGGGCCAACUUCUCUGUUAGGUGGUCGUAGCAGCGUGGGCUAUGAUAUUAUAUUGACAGGCAUGCUUAAACUUAUCUGUAUGAGGCCUUCCUUCCUUUGCUUUAAAGUUUUUCUUUGUAUUUGAUAAUUGUCCUGGCAUCAGAUUUUAUUUUAGUCUGCUGUAGAUCAUUGAUAUAUUUUUGUUCAGCUCCUCGAAUGGUCACCGACAAAACCAUUACGGAUGGUCUGUAAUUUAUUCACUUUAAUACCGAUGGAGACUCAAAUAAGCCCGAGUCUCGUUGUCACGUUGAAAAUGCAAUAUCUUUGAAUCAAAGUCAGUGAGAGAGAGAGAGAGAGUCUAUUGAGUGUGCCAUUGAUGGUGAGGAGUUAUUCAGCCGUGCAAGACAUACCUGUCUUGGUUUAGCAUUUUGGCUUUUGAAUAGGAGACAUAGCAAUGCACUUUAUUGGUUUUAUACAUUGUAUGUGGCUUGCUGGUGUACAGAGAGUGGACACACCUCAACUUGAACGCCAUGAGGAAGGGAGAGUCGAAUUUGGCUGCUCUGAAAAACACAGUUGAAGAUAAUUUGUUUUACUUUUCUUCCUGAACUUGCUAAGAUUAUGCAAGAGCUACCUAUUUUUAUAAUCCAAAGGCAGAAGAGUUAGCCUGUUACAUCAGUGUAACUUAACACUUUUUUCAAGCCUGUGAAACUCAAGCCAUCGAUGGCACGUGAUCUUGGGACUUAGGACGAAAUACACAAUCUGGAUGACUGAGUUGGCGGUUUGAACUACAUCGAAGUAAAGUCACCCGCACAGCAGUUCCAAACCUUCGAUUUGCAGGCCGACUGUCAUCAAUCGUUGAACUGGU